RNAcentral lists this ribosomal RNA (253 nucleotides) under uncultured bacterium. RNAcentral describes it as "partial 16S ribosomal RNA". It matches the Rfam family "Bacterial small subunit ribosomal RNA", at positions 524 to 776 of the family's 1533-position model. The record is from RNAcentral.
UACGAAGGGGGCUAGCGUUGUUCGGAAUUACUGGGCGUAAAGCGCGCGCAGGCGGCUAUCCAAGUCAGUGGUGAAAGCCCGGAGCUCAACUCCGGAACUGCCAUUGAAACUGUUUAGCUUGAGGACGAGAGAGGUGAGUGGAAUUCCCAGUGUAGAGGUGAAAUUCGUAGAUAUUGGGAAGAACACCGGUGGCGAAGGCGGCUCACUGGCUCGUUUCUGACGCUCAGGCGCGACAGCGUGGGGAGCAAACAGG